Molecule: non-coding RNA, 751 nt
Filed under: Vibrio palustris
Lineage: Bacteria; Pseudomonadati; Pseudomonadota; Gammaproteobacteria; Vibrionales; Vibrionaceae
Description: Bacterial large subunit ribosomal RNA
Rfam family: Bacterial large subunit ribosomal RNA
Source: Rfam by way of RNAcentral
AUGGAGCCGUCCUUGAAAUACCACCCUUGUAGUUUUGAUGUUCUAACUUGGUUCCCUUAUCGGGAAUGAGGACAGUGCCUGGUGGGUAGUUUGACUGGGGCGGUCUCCUCCCAAAGAGUAACGGAGGAGCACGAAGGUGGGCUAAUCACGGUUGGACAUCGUGAGGUUAGUGCAAUGGCAUAAGCCCGCUUAACUGCGAGAAUGACAAUUCGAGCAGGUGCGAAAGCAGGUCAUAGUGAUCCGGUGGUUCUGAAUGGAAGGGCCAUCGCUCAACGGAUAAAAGGUACUCCGGGGAUAACAGGCUGAUACCGCCCAAGAGUUCAUAUCGACGGCGGUGUUUGGCACCUCGAUGUCGGCUCAUCACAUCCUGGGGCUGAAGUCGGUCCCAAGGGUAUGGCUGUUCGCCAUUUAAAGUGGUACGCGAGCUGGGUUUAGAACGUCGUGAGACAGUUCGGUCCCUAUCUGCCGUGGGCGUUGGAGAAUUGAAAGGGGCUGCUCCUAGUACGAGAGGACCGGAGUGGACGAACCUCUGGUGUUCGGGUUGUGUCGCCAGACGCAUUGCCCGGUAGCUAAGUUCGGGAUCGAUAACCGCUGAAAGCAUCUAAGCGGGAAGCGAGCCUUGAGAUGAGUUCUCCCUGGCGCUUUAAGCGUCCUAAAGGGUUGUUCGAGACUAGAACGUUGAUAGGCAGGGUGUGUAAGCGUUGUGAGGCGUUGAGCUAACCUGUACUAAUCGCCCGUGAGGCUUAACCAU